GUAGGGAAUCUUCCACAAUGGACGAAAGUCUGAUGGAGCAACGCCGCGUGAGUGAAGAAGGUCUUCGGAUCGUAAAACUCUGUUGUUAGAGAAGAACGUGCAUGAUAGUAACUGAUCAUGUAAUGACGGUAUCUAACCAGAAAGCCACGGCUAACUACGUGCCAGCAGCCGCGGUAAUACGUAGGUGGCAAGCGUUGUCCGUAUUUAUUGGGCGUAAAGGGAACUCAGGCGGGUUUUUAAGUCUGAUGUGAAAGACUUCGGAUUAACCGAAGAAGAGCAUUGGAAACUGGAAGACUUGAGUGCAGAAGAGGAGAGUGGAAUUCCAUGUGUAGCGGUGAAAUGCGUAGAUAUAUGGAGGAACACCAGUGGCGAAAGCGGCUCUCUGGUCUGUAACUGACGCUGAGGUUCGAAAGCGUGGGUAGCAAACAGGAUUAGAAACCCUGGUAGUCC
RNAcentral lists this ribosomal RNA (450 nucleotides) under uncultured bacterium. RNAcentral's name for it is "partial 16S ribosomal RNA". It matches the Rfam family "Bacterial small subunit ribosomal RNA", at positions 354 to 796 of the family's 1533-position model. The record is from RNAcentral.